UUCCUUUUGUGGAAGGGAGGCUAAUGCGCGUUCAGAUGGCUUUCCCCAGAGAACGCUCUGCAGCCUGGGCUGCUGCGUAUGCUGCUUGAACAGGUUUCAUCUGUUGUCUUGGGAGAGAAUGGGAAAGGGACAGGCAAAGAAGUCGCUGGCAGGGAGUGGUGUGGAGGUCCUGCAGUGUCUGUUCCUGAGACCUUACAGGCCACCUCAUUCUUUGGAAUCUCGUUGGCUGGUGUGAGCUCACGUCCCUGUGAAAGAGCUGAAGAGGUGCAGCAUGGCUCACAACUGCCUGCAGUGCAUCAAGUACCUAAUGUUUGUCUUCAACCUCCUCUUCUGGGUGAGUACACAUCUGAGAUUGAGAGCUGUUUGCCUUUGUUUCCCCUUU
Molecule: long non-coding RNA, 382 nt
Filed under: Chrysemys picta bellii (western painted turtle)
Lineage: Eukaryota; Metazoa; Chordata; Testudines; Emydidae
Description: lncRNA (ENSCPBG00000007097.1)
Source: RNAcentral